RNAcentral lists this ribosomal RNA (271 nucleotides) under uncultured bacterium. RNAcentral describes it as "partial 16S ribosomal RNA". It matches the Rfam family "Bacterial small subunit ribosomal RNA", at positions 88 to 354 of the family's 1533-position model. The record is from RNAcentral.
CCGGCGACCGGCGCACGGGUGAGUAACACGUAUGCAACCUGCCCUCCGCAGGGGGAUAACCCGGAGAAAUCCGGACUAAUACCGCGUGGUACAUCUGUGGGGCAUCCCACGGGUGUUAAAAGGAAGCGAUUCCGGCGGAGGAUGGGCAUGCGGCGCAUUAGCUAGUUGGCGGGGUAACGGCCCACCAAGGCGACGAUGCGUAGGGGUUCUGAGAGGAAGGUCCCCCACACUGGUACUGAGACACGGACCAGACUCCUACGGAAGGCAGCAG